This 318-nucleotide ribosomal RNA is filed under the name Staphylococcus aureus. Its description in RNAcentral is "bacterial SSU rRNA". It matches the Rfam family "Bacterial small subunit ribosomal RNA", at positions 1197 to 1514 of the family's 1533-position model. Lineage: Bacteria; Bacillati; Bacillota; Bacilli; Caryophanales; Staphylococcaceae. The record is from RNAcentral.
GGCCCUUACGGCCUGGGCUACACACGUGCUACAAUGGUCGGUACAGAGGGUUGCCAAGCCGCGAGGUGGAGCUAAUCUCACAAAACCGAUCGUAGUCCGGAUCGCAGUCUGCAACUCGACUGCGUGAAGUCGGAAUCGCUAGUAAUCGCGAAUCAGAAUGUCGCGGUGAAUACGUUCCCGGGCCUUGUACACACCGCCCGUCACACCAUGGGAGUGGGUUGCACCAGAAGUAGCUAGUCUAACCUUCGGGAGGACGGUUACCACGGUGUGAUUCAUGACUGGGGUGAAGUCGUAACAAGGUAGCCGUAGGGGAACCUG